GAUGAAGAACGCAGUGAAAUGCGAUAAGUAAUGUGAAUUGCAGAAUUCAGUGAAACAUCGAAUCUUUGAACGCACCUUGCGCUCCUUGGUAUUCCGAGGAGCAUGCCUGUUUGAGUGUCAUGAAAUUCUCAACCUUUUCAGCUUUCUUUGUUGAUCAGGCUUGGAUGUGGGAGUAUGCGGGCUUCUCAGAAGUCGGCUCUCCUGAAAUGCAUUAGCGGGACCUUUGUUGCCUGGCUUUGGUGUGAUAAUUAUCUACGCCAUUGUAGUCAAGGAGCUUAAAAUGAGGUUUCAGCUUCUAACCGUCUCCCCUGAGACAACUUUUUGACAAUUUGACCUCAAAUCAGGUAGGACUACCCGCUGAACUUAAGCAUAUCAAUAAGCGGAGGA
RNAcentral lists this unclassified non-coding RNA (387 nucleotides) under soil metagenome. RNAcentral's name for it is "partial contains 5.8S ribosomal RNA, internal transcribed spacer 2, and large subunit ribosomal RNA". The stretch from base 1 to 120 matches the Rfam family "5.8S ribosomal RNA", at positions 35 to 154 of the family's 154-position model. The record is from RNAcentral.